Long non-coding RNA from Puntigrus tetrazona (Sumatra barb), 2427 nucleotides. RefSeq lists it as uncharacterized. The record is from RefSeq and is a predicted model, not a curated record. Lineage: Eukaryota; Metazoa; Chordata; Actinopteri; Cypriniformes; Cyprinidae. The transcript is spliced from 3 exons.
ACAGAGAACACAGCAAUAGAUGAACUCUCCACUGAAAAUACACAAUUUCAGAUUUAGUCAUUAUGUUUUUUCAAACUCUUAAACUCCAUUCAUUCACUGUUAUUAGCAUAGAAGAGCCAGGACAUUGUUUAAUUAUAACUCAGACUGAAGAAAAGGAAGUCAUAUACACCUAGGAUGGACUGACGCAGCAGCUGGCAGGAUGAGGGGGCGCAACUCACACCAACAGUAGGAAGUGAUGAGGGCUGCUGACAGGAAGCCUGGAGUUCAGGCCCGCGCUAAGCUAACACCAGUCCACUGGCGAUGCAAGUCACAUGCCCUGUGGAGACUGCGGUUGUCAGAAAGUGGUCUGGAGGCCCAGCUGUCGGGGUGUGAUGAGGUAACAGCGGGGGAAGUGCAGGGCAACAUGUGGCAUGUGGCAACAGCCCUCGACUGUUGGUGACGAACAACAACUCAUCCUGUCACAAGAUUCACCACAACUUUGAGAGAUCCAUUGAAACUGAAUUCUGUUUCAGAACAUGGGAUCAUCUCGGGUAGUCAGGGGCAAAAUUGGUAUUUUUUGGAUGUUAAAGAAAUAUUCUGGGUUCGGUUCACUUGAUCAGCAACACUUGUGGCAUGAACACACACACACAAAAAUUCCUCCUUUUUAGAAAAAACAACGACGACAGAAAGCUCGGUUACAGUGAGGCUCUUAUAAUAGGACUGAAUGGGUUUAAUCCAUAAACACUAAAAUAUUCAGUGUUUCAAUAGUAUAGCCACAAGGCAUAAAUAAUGUGUUUAAAAAGCAAUGAAGUCAAGUGUAUUAUGGUUUAAAGUUUUAAAAAACAAACACAAAAAACUUUUGAUGAUUAACUAAAGAAUUAUUGCAAUUAUUUAUUAUUAUUAUUACUAUUAUUAUAAGAGGGAUUGGUAAAAUUAGCUGAAACAAAGUACUUCCAGUCUUGAUGCAAGAUUUUGAUUUAUAUUUAGUAUCCAUUGAUUGUGUGCAAUAAAAUGAGGAAUGCUUAUCAAGAAAGCAAAUAUGGUCAAUCUUGAUUUCAUGUUGAUUUUAAUCACCAAUAACUUGUCUAUAAGUAAAGGGCUACAAAAAUUCUCCACUCACCAAUAAUAUUCCAAGCAUCUAGUACGAAAUAAACAAAAACCAGAAACUGACAUAGUCUUUGCUCCAGCCAGGUACAUCCAGUGUUUCAGACCACAUAAAUAGGAUGGCUGCCCUGCAUCUGCAGCAGGUCUCAAAAAUGAGCUCAUCUCAUCUGUAAGUCUAACUCAACCCGGUCUACGUAUCUGUCUCCUGCCCCGUCUUGACCUACCCUGCUGUGCCCAGCUGGCCUGAGCUUUUGCAGAUCUCAUUACAGAGAGAUGCUGCAGACCAGGACCGUGGCUGUGAAUUUUUUCUCCUCGCCAAUACAGCCAACGCACAGUCCCGCACGCCGCCUCCAAAAGUCCCAGAGGUCAGCACCCCAUCUGCUACAGAGACAAGGCUGCGUCCUGACGGACGUGUCAUCAGGUGUUCAGCGGCGCUCCGAAUGGGACUAAUGCUGGAGAUCUCAGUCUAUGCACAACAGCAAAUAAGGAGCCUCACCUGGUGAUUUACACAAGGGCUGAUUAGGGCCCUCAUGGGAGCCAAGUCUGGUCAGCCACACUCAGCUGGACGUCUGACUCACACACACUUCCUGGAAGAGGCCAGCACCGAAAAGGAGGAGGAUGCAGUGGGACGAAGACGCUAGCGAUGAUCAUGCUAACUUUAUCAUCCGCUCCCAGGCUGGUGGCAGAUGGUGCCAAGUUGCAUUUGCGACAUACACCAGCAUUUCCCACGAGCUCGAGACCACGUGAAAGGGAAGCUUUGUCACAGCCCUCCAAAUGUCAACAAGAACAGCAAGAAGUUAGAGGCAUGGCAUGCAGGAGGGGUGGGGGUGACUUCUUCUGUUUAACAUUUACUCAUGAUAAUGAUUGACUUUUGUAAAGGAAAUGCUUCACUAGCAUAAACCCUCAGUGUUUUCUGCUUGAAAGGCUCUUUGGACUAGCGGAUGGGGUUCCACAUAUGGAGAAAGUGAGAAAGCGUGAGAACGAGAGCGAACGAGGCAGGAAGAAGAACUGCUGAGGAAUGUGCCGCUCUUUGGUCUGAGCGGCAAGUAGCCUGCAGAUUUUAAAAGAACUAUUAUAAGUGUUACCAUGGCAGCAGUGCACGGCCAACAAAGGAUAAAAGGUCGCUGAAGACAACAAGAAAACACAAAGGAAAAUGGCUAAAAUCCAGUUCCAGAAAGAAUACUUGUGCUUAUAAAAUAAAAUAAACUACAAAGUAGCUAGGAAAAACUAAAUGUAAGCGUAAGGGUUAAGUAGCUUUACAUAAAACAGCACUUAAAAUGAUCCAAAGGAAUGUUGUAAUAUCUGCUAAAGGUUACAUUUUAUAUUAAAUUAUGAUUAUUUUAA